RNAcentral lists this unclassified non-coding RNA (378 nucleotides) under plant metagenome. RNAcentral's name for it is "partial contains 5.8S ribosomal RNA, internal transcribed spacer 2, and large subunit ribosomal RNA". The stretch from base 1 to 105 matches the Rfam family "5.8S ribosomal RNA", at positions 50 to 154 of the family's 154-position model. The record is from RNAcentral.
GAAAUGCGAUAAGUAAUGUGAAUUGCAGAAUUCAGUGAAUCAUCGAAUCUUUGAACGCACCUUGCGCUCCUUGGUAUUCCUUGGAGCAUGCCUGUUUGAGUAUCAUGAAAUCUUCAAAGUAAAUCUUUUGUUAACUCAAUUGGUUUCUACUUUGGUAUUGGAGGUCUUUGCAGCUUCACACCUGCUCCUCUUUGUUCAUUAGCUGGAUCUCAGUGUUAUGCUUGGUUCCACUCGGCGUGAUAAGUUAUCUAUCGCUGAGGACACUGUAAAAGGUGGCCAAGGUAAAUGCAGAUGAACCGCUUCUAAUAGUACAGUGACUUGGACAAUACUUUUAUGAUCUGAUCUCAAAUCAGGUAGGACUACCCGCUGAACUUAAGC